This 65-nucleotide transfer RNA is filed under the name Dipodomys ordii (Ord's kangaroo rat). It matches the Rfam family "tRNA". Rfam says of the family: Transfer RNA (tRNA) molecules are approximately 80 nucleotides in length. Their secondary structure includes four short double-helical elements and three loops (D, anti-codon, and T loops). Further hydrogen bonds mediate the characteristic L-shaped molecular structure. tRNAs have two regions of fundamental functional importance: the anti-codon, which is responsible for specific mRNA codon recognition, and the 3' end, to which the tRNAs corresponding amino acid is attached (by aminoacyl-tRNA synthetases). tRNAs cope with the degeneracy of the genetic code in two manners: having more than one tRNA (with a specific anti-codon) for a particular amino acid; and 'wobble' base-pairing, i.e. permitting non-standard base-pairing at the 3rd anti-codon position. Lineage: Eukaryota; Metazoa; Chordata; Mammalia; Rodentia; Heteromyidae. The record is from Rfam by way of RNAcentral.
GGUGGCUCAGUGGUAGAGCAUUUGCCUUGCAUGCAUCAGGCCCUGGGUUCAAUUCCUCAGCACCA